CCCUUAGAUGUUCUGGGCCGCACGCGCGCUACACUGACGAAUGCAACGAGCUUAUAACCUUGGCCGAAAGGUCUGGGUAAUCUCCAAAUUUCGUCGUGAUGGGGAUAGAUUAUUGCAAUUAUUAAUCUUCAACGAGGAAUGCCUAGUAAGCGCAAGUCAUCAGCUUGCGUUGAUUACGUCCCUGUCCUUUGUACACACCGCCCGUCGCUCCUACCGAUUGAAUGGUCCGGUGAAGCGCUCGGACCGCGGCCUCUUGACGGUUCGCUGUCGAUUGGCUGUGGGAAGUUCGUUAAACCUUAUCAUUUAGAGGAAGGAGAAGUCGUAACA
RNAcentral lists this ribosomal RNA (327 nucleotides) under uncultured eukaryote. Its description in RNAcentral is "partial 18S ribosomal RNA". It matches the Rfam family "Eukaryotic small subunit ribosomal RNA", at positions 1470 to 1796 of the family's 1831-position model. The record is from RNAcentral.